This 497-nucleotide ribosomal RNA is filed under the name uncultured bacterium. RNAcentral describes it as "partial 16S ribosomal RNA". It matches the Rfam family "Bacterial small subunit ribosomal RNA", at positions 28 to 507 of the family's 1533-position model. The record is from RNAcentral.
GAUGAACGCUGGCGGCGUGCCUAAUACAUGCAAGUCGAGCGAACAGACGAGGAGCUUGCUCCUCUGACGUUAGCGGCGGACGGGGGAGUAACACGUGGAUAACCUACCUAUAAGACUGGGAUAACUUCGGGAAACCGGAGCUAAUACCGGAUAAUAUAUUGAACCGCGUGGUUCAAUAGUGAAAGACGGUUUUGCUGUCACUUAUAGAUGGAUCCGCGCCGCAUUAGCUAGUUGGUAAGGUAACGGCUUACCAAGGCAACGAUGCGUAGCCGACAUGAGAGGGUGAUCGGCCACACUGGAACGGAGACACGGUCCAGACUCCUACGGGAGGCAGCAGUAGGGAAUCUGACGCAAUGGGCGAAAACUUGACGGAGCGACGCCACGUGAGUGCUGAAGGUCUUCGGAGCGUAAAACUCUGUUAUGAGGGGAAAACAGAUGUGUAAGUAACUAUGCACGUAUUGACGGUACCUGAUCAAAAAGCAACGGCUAACUCCGUG